RNAcentral lists this ribosomal RNA (497 nucleotides) under uncultured bacterium. RNAcentral describes it as "partial 16S ribosomal RNA". It matches the Rfam family "Bacterial small subunit ribosomal RNA", at positions 28 to 507 of the family's 1533-position model. The record is from RNAcentral.
GAUGAACGCUGGCGGCGUGCCUAAUACAUGCCAGUCGAGCGAACGGACGAGAAGCUUGCUUCUCUGAUGUUAGCGGCGGACGGGUGAGUAACACGUGGAUAACCUACCUAUAAGACUGGGAUAACUUCGGGAAACCGGAGCUAAUACCGGAUAAUAUUUUGAACCGCAUGGUUCAAAAGUGAAAGACGGCCUUGCUGUCACUUAUAGAUGGAUCCGCGCUGCAUUAGCUAGUUGGUAAGGUAACGGCUUACCAAGGCAACGAUGCAUAGCCGACCUGAGAGGGUGAUCGGCCACACUGGAACUGAGACACGGUCCAGACUCCUACGGGAGGCAGCAGUAGGGAAUCUUCCGCAAUGGGCGAAAGCCUGACGGAGCAACGCCGCGUGAGUGAUGAAGGUCUUCGGAUCGUAAAACUCUGUUAUUAGGGAAGAACAUAUGUGUAAGUAACUGUGCACAUCUUGACGGUACCUAAUCAGAAAGCCACGGCUAACUACGUG